UAUAUAUAUAUAUAUGCUGAUGCUGAAUAUAUAUAUAUGCUGAUGCUCCAGAUACUCAACUAGUCUAAAGAAGGCCAUAUAUACAUACAUAUAUAUGUAUAUAUAUAUAUAUAUAGGCCUUCUUUAGACUAGUUGAGUAUCUGGAGCAUCAGCAUUUGUGGGUACGAUUACAGGCUCAAAAUGACCAGAAACAAAGUACUUUCUUCUGAAACUCGUCAGUCUAUUCUUGUUCUGAGAAAUGAAGGCAAUCCCAUGCGAGAAAUUGCCAAGAAACUGAAGAUCUCGUACAACGCUGUGUACUUCACCCUUCACAGAACAGAGCAAACUGUCUCUAACCAGAAUAGAAAGAGGAGUGGGAGGCCCCGGUGCACAACUGAGCAAGAGGACAGGAGGGGUGCGUCACUUGAGUGGGUUGAGUCACUGAUGCGGUCUUCCUGUCUGGGUUGGCACCCCUCCUUGGGUUGUGCCGUGGCGGAGAUCUUUGUGGGCUAUACUCGGCCUUGUCUCAGGAUGGACCUGAGCCCUAGGACGAUGCCUCAGGACUACCUGGCAUGAUGACUCCUUGUUGUCCCCAGUUCACCUGGCCGUGCUGCUGCUCCUGUUUCAACUGUUCUGCCUGCGGCUAUGGAACCCUGACCUAUUCACUGUGAUUACUAUUAUUUGACCAUGCUGGUCAUUUAUGAACAUUUGAACAUCUUGGCCAUGUUCUGUUAUAAUCUCCACCCGGCACCGCCAGAAGAGGACUGGCCACCCCUCAUAGCCUGGUACCUCUCUAGGUUUCUUCCUAGGUUUUGGACUUUCUAGGGAGUUUUUCCUAGUGUCGUGUCUUUGGCAUCAUUAAAAACGGAAGACCUGUU
This 857-nucleotide long non-coding RNA is filed under the name Salmo salar (Atlantic salmon). RNAcentral describes it as "lncRNA (ENSSSAG00000113472.1)". Lineage: Eukaryota; Metazoa; Chordata; Actinopteri; Salmoniformes; Salmonidae. The record is from RNAcentral.